RNAcentral lists this ribosomal RNA (197 nucleotides) under uncultured Exiguobacterium sp. Its description in RNAcentral is "partial 16S ribosomal RNA". It matches the Rfam family "Bacterial small subunit ribosomal RNA", at positions 335 to 524 of the family's 1533-position model. Lineage: Bacteria; Bacillati; Bacillota; Bacilli; Caryophanales. The record is from RNAcentral.
ACUCCUACGGGAGGCAGCAGUAGGGAAUCUUCCACAAUGGACGAAAGUCUGAUGGAGCAACGCCGCGUGAGUGAUGAAGGUUUUCGGAUCGUAAAACUCUGUUGUAAGGGAAGAACAAGUACGAGAGGUAAUGCUCGUACCUUGACGGUACCUUGCGAGAAAGCCACGGCUAACUACGUGCCAGCAGCCGCGGUAAU